AUGCUCCUGGACUUCACCAAGCACUUCGUCACGGUGCCAACGGAGUUCAUACUCAGGAACAACACCAGCUGCUCCUGGAAGGUGACGGUAAAGCUGACGAACGGUAGGGUGACCCUGGAUCAGGGUUGGGCCACCUACGCAGCCGUCCAUCAGAUCAAGAUUGGCUACAUGGUGACAUUCAAGCUCCUCACUCCUGUCACCCUCAAGGUCAUCAUCUUCGACGAGGAUGGCACUGAGGUCGUCAACAAGUACGGGAAGCAUGACGAAGCCUUCGCCGCCAUGGAGUUGGGCAGGGGCACCUCCUUUCUAAUUACUCUCGAGUUUGCUUUGAACUGUUUAUGGUUUAUGCUUUGA
Molecule: ribosomal RNA, 354 nt
Filed under: Triticum aestivum (bread wheat)
Lineage: Eukaryota; Viridiplantae; Streptophyta; Magnoliopsida; Poales; Poaceae
Description: partial small subunit ribosomal RNA
Source: RNAcentral